AGCAGCCGCGGUAAUUCCAGCUCCAAUAGCGUAUAUUAAAGUUGUUGCAGUUAAAAAGCUCGUAGUUGAAUUUCGGGAUCAGUAGGUUGGUCGUGCCACUGGUAUGUACUGGCCUCACUGGUUCCUCCCUCUUGUAGAACCGUAAUGCCAUUAAGUUGGUGUUGCGGGGAAACAGGACUGUUACUUUGAAAAAAUUAGAGUGUUUAAAGCAGGCUAACGCUUGAAUACAUUAGCAUGGAAUAAUGAAAUAGGACGAUCGAUCCUAUUUUGUUGGUUUCUAGGAUUGACGUAAUGAUUAAUAGGGAUAGUUGGGGGCAUUAGUAUUCAAUUGUCAGAGGUGAAAUUCUUGGAUUUAUUGAAGACUGACUACUGCGAAAGCAUUUGCCAAGGAUGUUUUCAUUAAUCAAGAACGAAAGUUAGGGGAUCGAAGACGAUCAGAUACCGUCGUAGUCUUAACCAUAAACUAUGCCGACUAGGGAUCGGAUGAUGUUAAUUUUUAAUGACUCAUUCGGCGCCUUAA
Molecule: ribosomal RNA, 520 nt
Filed under: uncultured Glomus
Lineage: Eukaryota; Fungi; Glomeromycota; Glomeromycetes; Glomerales; Glomeraceae
Description: SSU rRNA
Rfam family: Eukaryotic small subunit ribosomal RNA
Source: RNAcentral